Dromaius novaehollandiae (emu) is the source of this 2457-nucleotide long non-coding RNA. RefSeq lists it as uncharacterized. The transcript has 4 exons. The record is from RefSeq and is a predicted model, not a curated record. NCBI's taxonomy places the organism in Eukaryota, Metazoa, Chordata, Aves, Casuariiformes, Dromaiidae.
GUGUGGGGACGGGGGGGUCUGGUGCGUGUUAGACGGGACGGGGCGUCACGCUCGGUGACAGGGGGAGCGGCUACCAGAAGAGACGGGGGCUCCGAGGAGGGCCCGUCCCGCCAGAAGGGGGAAUAGUGGCUUUCGUCCCAGCUGCGGAAGAGAAGCUCAUCAUUAGCAAGAUCCUGCCAGACGCACGAAGCCAGACAGAGAUCAGUUGCAUUCAGUUAUUCUACAAACACUGUCAAUGCUGCAAAUUACCUGCAACAAGCUGCGGCUACUAAAAGAGUAAUCCUGAUCUGAAUACAAAGAAACACUGCAACACAGACAAGUGAGCAGGUAUCAGAUGAUCUGAAUGACUGAAAAACAAUGAUUCUUCAAUCAAUUCUGUCAAGCAAAUAUUAAAUUUUUAAAAAAUAUAUGUAUGUAUACACACAUACAAAUGCACAUGAUGUGGAUGUAACUCAAAUAUAUCCUGCAUGUUUUCUCAGUGUAGUUCUUUGUGUAAAAACAAAAAUAAAUCUGCCUGAAUAUAUGGCAUUAACACUACACUAAAUAAUAAAAUAACCAGACAGCAAGAGAUCGUUUUCAAGGACAGAAAGAACCAGGAGUGUGGGCUUAUAGUUCCUCAUCAUUAUUUCAAGCUGUUAACCAAGACAGCAACAGAAAUCAGCAAAGAAAACAAUGACAACAUUGAGAUAAAAAAAACUUAAAUUUCAUGAAAUAUGAAAUGAUCCAACCUAUUCUGUGUAAACAGUGUAUGUCAAAUGCUGAAAUCUGUUUCUGGAGGUAAUUUUUAAAAAGAUGAAUUAAGGAAUGUAUUUUGCUAGUAUUUUUGCUAUCUCUUCGGACAUUACUUUAUAUCAUUAUAACAAACCCACAUUUCUGUAUAUAUUUGUUAACUCCAAAUUGACAAAAAUAUCAUUUGAAAAUAAUUAUUUGGACAUGCUUUAAAUAAAAGAAAAAAAAACAGUAACAGGAAGUUCAAGGCUCUGAAGAACAUUAGGAAUCAUGUUGUGAUAAGUUUCAUAAUCAUAAUAUACCAGAAAGAUGGGAGCAGCAGCAUUAUCAGAAUUGGGUCACCAAAAGACUGUGUCUGAUAAAUUAUCAAGUGAACUUUACACCAUCAGGUGAACAUUUGGCAAUUUUAUACUAGCUUCAAAACCUCUCCAAAGUCAGAUUAUCUUUCUGUUGUGUAUACAGUACUUGUAAAGAAUUCGUAGUGGUUGCAGGAGAUCAAGUUUUCCUACUUAGCCCUGAAACAAAUAUCAAAAUUUUAGCUGCUAGUUUCAUGUUUUUAUUGCUAUACUCAGCUAGUACUUCCUGCUCACAAAUUAACAAGCUACUGAACAAUGUUGAGCUAACAAGAAUACCAGUAGUUUUUGCUGAUGUGCACAGGGCUUUUCUCCCUGCAUAGAAGCUAAAUCGACACACCAGCAACAACAUAAUCACUUCUAAAUUAUUUAAUGUUAGAAAGUGGUUCCAAGACAGAAAAAAAUACUGUCUUUCAAGAAACUAGACUUAUAAUGUAAGUCUUCUUCCUAUUGUACUGAUAUAGAAGACAUCACAGCAUAAAUCUUAAAAAUCUUUUUUUUAACUUAAAAAUUGGUAAAAAGAUACACCAUAUAUUUCUUUAUUGCUGGGUACCAACUGAAGAACUUUCACAUAUGACACAAAGGGAGAUACAAUUUAAACCAAUCUGGAACCAAUUGCUGGAAAUUUUAAAGCUUUAAUAUGUGCGCAUUUAGCCACCAGUUUAUAUGCCAUUUUUAGCUCAUAUCUUAUUUUUCCUGCUCAAGCAACUAUUUUCAGCUUUGCAGUAAACCAGGAUGAAUGCUUUGAGAACUCACUUGUAAAACAAGAUGGCUAAACCCAUUGUUACUGUAAAUGCACCUAGAACCAUAUUUUUAAAUGUAUUUUGAACAUCCAUCCUCAAUCUCCAGAUUCAGUAGGCCACCUAAAGGUAUGUUCCCGUACUUUCAAUUACGCAGCUUUACCUAACGACUGAAACCUUUUAAUGGCUUGGCUGUAAUAAUUAUCACAAGAAAAACACUCGUCAAGCUUGUAAAUAACGUGCUGACCUUCUCUGGCUCUGUGUGAUGUCAGACAGAUCUAGUUUCAACUUUGAUCAUGCCUUCUUCAUGUUACACCUUGUUACCGGAUAAUAAAUUCUUUACAGUGUUGAAGAGCAUGAUGGGAUGCUAAAAACUAAACGCAACCUCGCUUAAAACAACGCUUGUAACCGUGUCCUGCUCUAUCAAAUAAAGCACAACAUAAUGAUCCGAAACCCCUCCUCUCCGUGGUAACCGGGCCGUACAGGCGGUGCUUUGUGACCACCACCCUCCUGUCAGCGGUAUUAUCAAAGCCGAAGUUCACCCGCCGCAGCCGUAAGCGACGCCAAAGCCUGGGAAGCUGAUUCCAAGCCGUUACGCCCGCAGCGCCCCAGGCAAACCCAGCUGCUCACCCUCC